This 201-nucleotide long non-coding RNA is filed under the name Elaeis guineensis (African oil palm). Its description in RNAcentral is "long non-coding RNA (EGUI_LNC005102)". The record is from RNAcentral. Lineage: Eukaryota; Viridiplantae; Streptophyta; Magnoliopsida; Arecales; Arecaceae.
GAUAACCUUUUACUCCAAAUACAAAAUGUUCAAUCCCAUCAUCAAAAUUCAUCAUUCAUCAUCUCAAUUCAAAGGAGUAUUUUUAAAGAAAUUCUAAAGAAACAAUGCUGCAAGCCUCUAGCCAAUAAAAAUAUCUCAAGCAAAGAUCAUAACUUGCAACAAAAGUCCAUAUCUGAUUCACAAGGACAAAUUAUCUAGCGG